RNAcentral lists this ribosomal RNA (1361 nucleotides) under uncultured bacterium. Its description in RNAcentral is "bacterial SSU rRNA". It matches the Rfam family "Bacterial small subunit ribosomal RNA", at positions 28 to 1381 of the family's 1533-position model. The record is from RNAcentral.
AUUGAACGCUGGCGGCAGGCCUAACACAUGCAAGUCGAGCGGUAGCACAGAGAGCUUGCUCUCGGGUGACGAGCGGCGGACGGGUGAGUAAUGUCUGGGAAACUGCCUGAUGGAGGGGGAUAACUACUGGAAACGGUAGCUAAUACCGCAUAACGUCGCAAGACCAAAGUGGGGGACCUUCGGGCCUCAUGCCAUCAGAUGUGCCCAGAUGGGAUUAGCUAGUAGGUGGGGUAAUGUCUCACCUAGGCGACGAUCCCUAGCUGGUCUGAGAGGAUGACCAGCCACACUGGAACUGAGACACGGUCCAGACUCCUACGGGAGGCAGCAGUGGGGAAUAUUGCACAAUGGGCGCAAGCCUGAUGCAGCCAUGCCGCGUGCGUGAAGAAGGCCUUCGGGUUGUAAAGUACUUUCAGCGGGGAGGAAGGCGAUAAGGUUAAUAACCUCAUCGAUUGACGUUACCCGCAGAAGAAGCACCGGCUAACUCCGUGCCAGCAGCCGCGGUAAUACGGAGGGUGCAAGCGUUAAUCGGAAUUACUGGGCGUAAAGCGCACGCAGGCGGUCUGUCAAGUCGGAUGUGAAAUCCCCGGGCUCAACCUGGGAACUGCAUUCGAAACUGGCAGGCUAGAGUCUUGUAGAGGGGGGUAGAAUUCCAGGUGUAGCGGCGAAAUGCGUAGAGAUCUGGAGGAAUACCGGUGGCGAAGGCGGCCCCCUGGACAAAGACUGACGCUCAGGUGCGAAAGCGUGGGGAGCAAACAGGAUUAGAUACCCUGGUAGUCCACGCCGUAAACGAUGUCGAUUUGGAGGUUGUGCCCUUGAGGCGUGGCUUCCGGAGCUAACGCGUUAAAUCGACCGCCUGGGGAGUACGGCCGCAAGGUUAAAACUCAAAUGAAUUGACGGGGGCCCGCAUAAGCGGUGGAGCAUGUGGUUUAAUUCGAUGCAACGCGAAGAACCUUACCUGGUCUUGACAUCCACAGAACUUUCCAGAGAUGGAUUGGUGCCUUCGGGAACUGUGAGACAGGUGCUGCAUGGCUGUCGUCAGCUCGUGUUGUGAAAUGUUGGGUUAAGUCCCGCAACGAGCGCAACCCUUAUCCUUUGUUGCCAGCGGUCCGGCCGGGAACUCAAAGGAGACUGUCAGUGAUAAACUGGAGGAAGGUGGGGAUGACGUCAAGUCAUCAUGGCCCUUACGACCAGGGCUACACACGUGCUACAAUGGCAUAUACAAAGAGAAGCGACCUCGCGAGAGCAAGCGGACCUCAUAAAGUAUGUCGUAGUCCGGAUUGGAGUCUGCAACUCGACUCCAUGAAGUCGGAAUCGCUAGUAAUCGUAGAUCAGAAUGCUACGGUGAAUACGUUCCCGGGCCU